This is a regulatory RNA element of Lachnospiraceae bacterium 28-4, 165 nucleotides long. The record is from Rfam. NCBI's taxonomy places the organism in Bacteria, Bacillati, Bacillota, Clostridia, Lachnospirales, Lachnospiraceae.
UUGCGUACAAUCAGCAAUUUCACUUAUGAAAUGGCCAAAAACCAAGGGUGAAAUUGCCACGGACGGCAAUUUCAGGAAGCGAAGGGCAAGGAUGCCCUUUCGCUUCCGACCCAAUCGGUUCCAAAGAGUAUACCCAUUUCAUUAGUGAAAUCUGAUUGGAAGCUC